UGCAAGUCGAGGGGUAACGGAAGUAGCUUGCUACUAGACGACGACCGGCGCACGGGUGAGUAACGCGUAUGUAAUCUGCCUUGUACAGAGGGAUAGCCCAGAGAAAUUUGGAUUAAUACCUCAUAGUAUUACCGAAUCGCAUGAUUUGGUAAUUAAAGCUCCGGCGGUACAAGAUGAACAUGCGUGACAUUAGCUAGUUGGUAAGGUAACGGCUUACCAAGGCCACGAUGUCUAGGGGUUCUGAGAGGAUGAUCCCCCACACUGGUACUGAGACACGGACCAGACUCCUACGGGAGGCAGCAGUGAGGAAUAUUGGCCAAUGGACGCAAGUCUGAACCAGCCAUCCCGCGUGAAGGAUGACUGCCCUAUGGGUUGUAAACUUCUUUUAUAUGC
RNAcentral lists this ribosomal RNA (393 nucleotides) under uncultured bacterium. Its description in RNAcentral is "bacterial SSU rRNA". It matches the Rfam family "Bacterial small subunit ribosomal RNA", at positions 56 to 443 of the family's 1533-position model. The record is from RNAcentral.